RNAcentral lists this ribosomal RNA (305 nucleotides) under uncultured bacterium. RNAcentral's name for it is "bacterial SSU rRNA". It matches the Rfam family "Bacterial small subunit ribosomal RNA", at positions 334 to 655 of the family's 1533-position model. The record is from RNAcentral.
UCUUCCUACGGGGGGCAGCAGUCGGGAAUAUUGCACAAUGGAGGAAACUCUGAUGCAGUGACACCGCGUAUAGGAAGAAGGUUUUCGGAUUGUAAACUAUUUUAGACAGGGAAGAAAAAAGACAGUACCUGUAGAAUAAGCUCCGGCUAACUACGUGCCAGCAGCCGCGGUAAUACGUAGGGAGCAAGCGUUAUCCGGAUUUACUGGGUGUAAAGGGAGCGUAGACGGCAUGGCAAGUCUGGAGUGAAAGCCCGGGGCCCAACCCCGGGACUGCUCUGGAAACUGCCAUGCUAGAGUGCUGGAGG